UUUGCCUCAGGAGACUGAAUAUGAUAUUGCAUCCAUUCUACAGAUGAGAAGACUAAAAUUUAAAGCUUGCUGUAGCUUCAGCUUUGGUGGCGCUUAGGGAUCGGACUGCAGAGGUUAAUGAUGGUUCCCCCCUUACCCCCCCAUCCAAGAUGUAUCUGACUGUCAGGAGGGGUGACAGAUGAAGACAAAGUACAGUGUUUCCCAGCUCCCUCCCAUAGCCAAAGGAAGGGAAAUAAUUACUUUUCCCUUUUAAAUGCUCUAUGUUCAAACCAGAAUGAAAACAGAGUGAUUUAAUAAAAUUGUCUUUAAGAG
This 312-nucleotide long non-coding RNA is filed under the name Monodelphis domestica (gray short-tailed opossum). RNAcentral's name for it is "lncRNA (ENSMODG00000043617.1)". The record is from RNAcentral. Lineage: Eukaryota; Metazoa; Chordata; Mammalia; Didelphimorphia; Didelphidae.